AUUGAACGCUGGCGGCAUGCCUUACACAUGCAAGUCGAACGGUAACGGGCCUUCGGGUGCCGACGAGUGGCGAACGGGUGAGUAAUACAUCGGAACGUGCCCGAUCGUGGGGGAUAACGAGGCGAAAGCUUUGCUAAUACCGCAUACGAUCUACGGAUGAAAGCAGGGGACCGCAAGGCCUUGCGCGGACGGAGCGGCCGAUGGCAGAUUAGGUAGUUGGUGGGAUAAAAGCUUACCAAGCCGACGAUCUGUAGCUGGUCUGAGAGGAUGAUCAGCCACACUGGGACUGAGACACGCCCCAGACUCCUAAGGGAGGCAGCAGUGGGGAAUUUUGGACAAUGGGCGCAAGACUGAUCCAGCCAUGCCGCGUGCAGGAUGAAGGCCUGCGGGUUGUAAACUGCUUUUGUACGGAACGAAAAGCCUUCUUUUAAUACAGGAGGGUCAUGACGGUACCGUAAGAAUAAGCACCGGCUAACUACGUG
RNAcentral lists this ribosomal RNA (482 nucleotides) under uncultured bacterium. RNAcentral describes it as "partial 16S ribosomal RNA". It matches the Rfam family "Bacterial small subunit ribosomal RNA", at positions 30 to 507 of the family's 1533-position model. The record is from RNAcentral.